UGCCCAGCCAUAACACAACAAUUAAACCACCAAUUGUUCGCCAAAUAACUACGAGUAUAGACUUAAAAUUUAAAAGACUUGACGGUGCCUCACAACAGCCUAGAGGAGCCUGUCAAAUAACCGAUACUCCACGAUUAACCCAACCCACCCUAGCCAAUCAGUCUAUAUACCGCCGUCGCCAGCCCACCUUAUGAGAGAAUCAAAAUGAGCUAAAUAGUCCUUCACACUAACACGACAGGUCGAGGUGUAACUUAUGGGCGGGUCAAAGAUGGGCUACAUUUUCUAACACAGAAAACACGAAUAAACCCUGAAAUAAGAAACUGAAGGCGGAUUUAGCAGUAUACUAGAAUAAAUAUUCCUAGUCGAAACCAACGCAAUGAGGUGCGUACACACCGCCCGUCAUCCCUGUCACUCAAACAACAAACUUUAUAAACACACAAAUAACCAACAACAGGGCAAGUCGUA
RNAcentral lists this ribosomal RNA (465 nucleotides) under Gyalopion canum. RNAcentral's name for it is "partial 12S ribosomal RNA". Lineage: Eukaryota; Metazoa; Chordata; Lepidosauria; Squamata; Colubridae. The record is from RNAcentral.